This 169-nucleotide ribosomal RNA is filed under the name uncultured bacterium. RNAcentral describes it as "partial 16S ribosomal RNA". It matches the Rfam family "Bacterial small subunit ribosomal RNA", at positions 338 to 524 of the family's 1533-position model. The record is from RNAcentral.
CCUACGGGAGGCAGCAGUGGGGAAUAAAGCACAAUGGGGGAAACCCUGAUGCAGCGACGCCGCGUGAGUGAAGAAGUAUUUCGGUAUGUACGGCUCUAUCAGCAGGGAAGAUAAUGACGGUACCUGACUAAGAAGCCCCGGCAUACUACGUGCCAGCAGCCGCGGUAAU